UUUUGUGUUAUUUUAUUUCAGUUUAGCUACAUAGAUGGGCAACUGCAUCAUAGAAUACCAAGAAGUGCAGGUACAGAGCUACUGGAGUUCAUUGUGGUUAUUGAGGUGAAUGCAUCACUAGCUGUUGUGAUUGAACAGAUCAGAGCGUCAUUGGCCUCCAUUACGUUUCCUCUUCAACUUGAUAACAGCACUGAAGUUACUGCUGCAAACAUUACAACAGUGUGCCAACCAAAUGCGACAGAAUACCAGUGUGUAUGUGAAGAUGGUUAUGCAUGGUCAUACAACAACUGUCAGACAUAUGAGAACUGUGGCGACAUCAGUUUUGGCUCAUGUGGAUGUAUCAGUGCUGUUCCCAGUGAUGGAGAGAUGUGUGUGCGGAGAGUGGUAAGAAUGAUGAACAAACAAGCCCAACAGCGAAUGCACUCAAAAAACCUGUAAAAAUGUUUGUAAUGAUUAAAAAAGUAAAAUUAAAAAAGUUGCAGUAUAAAUAAAUAAAUAAAUAAACAAAUAAUCUUAAUUUGUUAACUAAGUUACCUUACAUAGUACUGGCUAAAAGUUUUGGCAGUGACAUAAAUUGUGUGUCUUGCCAAGUUUGCUGCUUAAAGCUGGCUGCACAAUAGACAGCA
Long non-coding RNA from Cyprinus carpio (common carp), 626 nucleotides. RefSeq lists it as uncharacterized. Lineage: Eukaryota; Metazoa; Chordata; Actinopteri; Cypriniformes; Cyprinidae. The record is from RefSeq and is a predicted model, not a curated record. The transcript has 3 exons.